GAUGAACGCUGGCGGCGUGCCUAAUACAUGCAAGUCGAGCGAACAGACGAGGAGCUUGCUCCUCUGACGUUAGCGGCGGACGGGUGAGUAACACGUGGAUAACCUACCUAUAAGACUGGGAUAACUUCGGGAAACCGGAGCUAAUACCGGAUAAUAUAUUGAACCGCAUGGUUCAAUAGUGAAAGACGGUUUUGCUGUCACUUAUAGAUGGAUCCGCGCCGCAUUAGCUAGUUGGUAAGGUAACGGCUUACCAAGGCAACGAUGCGUAGCCGACCUGAGAGGGUGAUCGGCCACACUGGAACUGAGACACGGUCAAGACUCCUACGGGAGGCAGCAGUAGGGAAUCUUCCGCAAUGGGCGAAAGCUUGACGGAGCAACGCCGCGUGAGUGAUGAAGGUCUUCGGAUCGUAAAACUCUGUUAUUAGGGAAGAACAAAUGUGUAAGUAACUAUGCACGUCUUGACGGUACCUAAUCAGAAAGCCACGGCUAACUACGUG
This 497-nucleotide ribosomal RNA is filed under the name uncultured bacterium. Its description in RNAcentral is "partial 16S ribosomal RNA". It matches the Rfam family "Bacterial small subunit ribosomal RNA", at positions 28 to 507 of the family's 1533-position model. The record is from RNAcentral.